RNAcentral lists this signal recognition particle RNA (299 nucleotides) under Aotus nancymaae (Ma's night monkey). Its description in RNAcentral is "Metazoan signal recognition particle RNA (ENSANAG00000002385.1)". It matches the Rfam family "Metazoan signal recognition particle RNA". Rfam says of the family: The signal recognition particle (SRP) is a universally conserved ribonucleoprotein. It is involved in the co-translational targeting of proteins to membranes. The record is from RNAcentral. Lineage: Eukaryota; Metazoa; Chordata; Mammalia; Primates; Aotidae.
GCCAGGCGCGGUGGCGCAUGCCUGUAGUCCCAGCUACUCGGGAGGCUGAGAUGGGAGGAUCGCUUGAGCCCAGGAGUGCUGGGCUGUAGUGCGCUAUGCCGAUUGGGUGUCUGCACUAAGUUCGGCAUCAAUAUUGUGACCUCCCGGGAGCAGAGGACCACCAGGUUGCCUAAGGAGGGGUGAACCAGCCCAGGUCGGAAACGGAGCAGGUCAAAACUCCCGUGCUGGUCAGUUGUGGGACCGCACCUGUGAACAGCCACUGCACUCCAGCUUGGGCAACAUAGCAAGACCCCGUCUCU